RNAcentral lists this ribosomal RNA (201 nucleotides) under Brevibacillus laterosporus. RNAcentral's name for it is "partial 16S ribosomal RNA". It matches the Rfam family "Bacterial small subunit ribosomal RNA", at positions 52 to 255 of the family's 1533-position model. Lineage: Bacteria; Bacillati; Bacillota; Bacilli; Caryophanales; Paenibacillaceae. The record is from RNAcentral.
UACAUGCAAGUCGAGCGAGGGUCUUCGGACCCUAGCGGCGGACGGGUGAGUAACACGUAGGCAACCUGCCUGUGAGACUGGGAUAACAUAGGGAAACUUAUGCUAAUACCGGAUAGGGUUUUGCUUCGCCUGAAGCGAAACGGAAAGAUGGCGCAAGCUAUCACUUACAGAUGGGCCUGCGGCGCAUUAGCUAGUUGGUGA